RNAcentral lists this ribosomal RNA (498 nucleotides) under uncultured bacterium. Its description in RNAcentral is "partial 16S ribosomal RNA". It matches the Rfam family "Bacterial small subunit ribosomal RNA", at positions 30 to 523 of the family's 1533-position model. The record is from RNAcentral.
AUUGAACGCUGGCGGCAUGCCUUACACAUGCAGGUCGAACGGUAACAGGUCUUCGGAUGCUGACGAGUGGCGAACGGGUGAGUAAUACAUCGGAACGUGCCUAGUAGUGGGGGAUAACUACUCGAAAGAGUGGCUAAUACCGCAUGAGAUCUACGGAUGAAAGCAGGGGAUCGCAAGACCUUGUGCUACUAGAGCGGCCGAUGGCAGAUUAGGUAGUUGGUGGAAUAAGAGCUUACCAAGCCGACGAUCUGUAGCUGGUCUGAGAGGACGAUCAGCCACACUGGGACUGAGACACGGCCCAGACUCCUACGGGAGGCAGCAGUGGGGAAUUUUGGACAAUGGGCGCAAGCCUGAUCCAGCAAUGCCGCGUGCAGGAUGAAGGCCUUCGGGUUGUAAACUGCUUUUGUACGGAACGAAAAGCCCUGGGUUAAUACCCUGGGGUCAUGACGGUACCGUAAGAAUAAGCACCGGCUAACUACGUGCCAGCCGCCGCGGUAA